GACAGAGGGUGCAAACGUUGUUCGGAAUUACUGGGCGUAAAGCGUGUGUAGGCGGCCUCGUAAGUCGGAUGUGAAAGCCCCAGGCUUAACCUGGGAAGUGCACUCGAAACUGCGAGGCUUGAGUAUCGGAGAGGUUGGUGGAAUUCUCGGUGUAGAGGUGAAAUUCGUAGAUAUCGAGAGGAACACCGGUGGCGAAGGCGGCCAACUGGACGAAUACUGACGCUGAGACACGAAAGCGUGGGGAGCAAACAGG
RNAcentral lists this ribosomal RNA (253 nucleotides) under uncultured bacterium. RNAcentral describes it as "partial 16S ribosomal RNA". It matches the Rfam family "Bacterial small subunit ribosomal RNA", at positions 524 to 776 of the family's 1533-position model. The record is from RNAcentral.